GCGCAGCAGGCGCGAAACUUUACAAUGUGCGAAAGCACGAUAAGGGAACUCUGAGUGCCUCCUAAGGAGGCUGUUCAGGUGUCUAAAAGCACCUGAAGGAAGGGCUGGGUAAGACCGGUGCCAGCCGCCGCGGUAACACCGGCAGCCCAAGUGGUAGCCACGUUUAUUGGGUCUAAAGCGUCCGUAGCCGGCUGGGUAAGUUCCUUGGGAAAUUUGGCUGCUUAACAGUCAAGCUUUCAGGGAAUACUGCCCGGCUUGGGGACCGGGAGAGGUCAGAGGUACUCCAGGGGUAGGGGUGAAAUCCAUUAAUCCUUGGGGGACCACCGGUAGCGAAGGCGUCUGACCAGACCGGGUCCGACGGUGAGGGACGAAGGCUAGGGGCGCGAACCGGAUUAGAUACCCGUGUAGU
Molecule: ribosomal RNA, 409 nt
Filed under: uncultured microorganism
Description: bacterial SSU rRNA
Rfam family: Archaeal small subunit ribosomal RNA
Source: RNAcentral